Molecule: long non-coding RNA, 526 nt
Filed under: Sinocyclocheilus grahami
Lineage: Eukaryota; Metazoa; Chordata; Actinopteri; Cypriniformes; Cyprinidae
Description: lncRNA (ENSSGRG00000031545.1)
Source: RNAcentral
UAGAUCUACAUAAAUAUUUUACCAAGCAGUUUGACUUGAUUUUUAGAACCUGAAAUUAUUAAAGAAAAGGAGAAACCUCCAAAGAAAGAAGCUGUAAAAGAAAAGCCCAAACCUGCUUCUGUAAAGAAAGAACCUGAAGUUCCAAAAGCAAAAGCAAAACCUGAACCUACCAAAAAAGAGGCAGAAGUUGCCAAGGACAAACUAAAACCUGUAGCUGUGAAGAAAGAACCUGCUGUUGCAGUUGAAAAGGCAAAACCUAAACCUGCACCAAAGAAAGAACCUGAAGUUACCAAAGAGAAAGCCAAACCAGAACCUGCAAAGAAAGAACCUGAGAUAACCAAAGAGAAACCCAGGGCACCAAAGAAAGGCAUGUAACAUUAUUUGUGAGAACAAUAAUGUUGUAUUAAUAUUUUCUCCUGUUAGGUUUUAAGACAAUGAUAGUGUUUUGCUUGCUUUGUUUUCAUCAUCACAAUGUAAGAGGCUGAAGUCAUCACACAGAAAUCACAUUCAACAAACACAUUUGAAA